AGCUAUUAUCGCGCUCGAUUGAUAUUCUGACUACAACUGCGUAUAUACUGCAACACUGUUUUUCCCGGCGACAUGACGUCGCCUCAAUGUUUUCUCUUCAAUUAAUAUAAUAUAAUUUACUUGAUUCAUUUCUGAGGACUUUUUAAGUUGAGGAUACGUUGUGAGAACAUGGGGCUGUGUUUAUCAUUUGAUUGUGGCGACUGUGACGUUUGCUGCAACCCGUGCUGUUUGGCUUUGAGUGCUUGUUGUUUGGUUCCCUGCCUCUGUCCCAACGCGUGCGGACAGCAACAGCAACACCCUCCGCAAACCGUGAUCGUCCAACAACCGCCCGUGUUCGUCGACAAUAACCCGCCAGGAUACCCUCAUCCCCCACCACCAGGAGGCUACCCCCCUCCAGGAGGAUAUCCCCCCCCAGGAGGCUACCCACCGCCAGGCGGCGGAUACCCCGGCUACCCCCAAUAUAGAUAAACGGAUUCUCUUUAAGGAUGGGUUGUAACAUAUCGUGCCGACCUUGUUGCUGCUGCUGCAUUCCGUGUCUGUGCUGCGACUGCUGCGGAGACCCACCACCUCGCACCACUGUGGUGCACCACCACACCGUAGUUCAAGUGCCAAAACCGUCUCACAGGAAUGAACCUCCUCCUCCCUACAGAUAGAAUCACCAGUCCCCAAUCUAUUCUCUACCGCUGUUCUGUCCGACCAUUUAGUUAAGUUAUCACGACAAUAGUCACUCGCGGGAUUUUAAUUAAUAUUCAAAAUAAUCUUUAUUUAAGCAUAUGUUCGGAAGAAGCGUUAUCACUGUGAAAAACUUCACAUCAAAAAACUCAUUUGCCAUUAGGUCCGAAUUUCAGAAGGCAUGAUGUGAUAUUAAGAUGAUAAUCUGUAUAUGUAUGGUGUCGUCUCAUUCAUACACAUCUAUGAAGACAGUGACAAAAAGACACGUAAUGAUGGAUUAACUUCUGGAAUCUUAAUUGCCAAGUAUUUGUACAAUUUUAGUAUAUCAAAGGUUUUGCAUAUGAAAUACGAAAUCAUAUACAAACUUCACAGGGUUUUUUAUACAUUAUAAAAUAUAAGGCGUCGUGGUGUGCGUUUUUGAUGACCUGCCGAUACUUCGGCUGUUUUGCAAACGCAAUUCCGUGUGACUUAAGUGUGACGAGCUGAAUAUGUGAUCACAAUUUUAAUUUUUGAUUGGCCCUUAAUCAGCGCGUCGCGUCGUAUACAACUUAGCAAACAAGUAUUGAGUAUAGGAAAUAGUAUUGUGUAAUUUAAUAUUGAUAUAGUAAGGACGGCCGGCGAUCCAAAAUGACGCACUUUUUCAAUAUUUAAUUUAAUAAAACUGCGGUCGAGACUGUAAUGGCAUAAGGAAUGUGUUCUCCAUUUAUAUUUGUUUGCAGAUAAUUUAUGAAAAAAAUAAAUCAAAUUAUUGCAAUUAUUAUUAAUAGAACGUAUUUUCUUACGCACACUAACACAAAUCGCGAGUGUAAGAAGUAGCUUGUCACGCACACUACACUAAUAUUCCUGGCCUCGGUUGUUCAACAGCAAGAGACUCUAUCCAGACGUAUGAAUUAUCUAAGCGUAUUUUUUUUUAUAUUUAAGAUAUGAUGAUAUCUUAAUAUUGUUAAAUUUUUAUUUAGUUGUAAGAUAUUUGAAUAGUUGCUUUUAGAACUUCUUCUUUUAAAUUUUUAUCAGAUAACCUUUCAAAAACAAACAAGAAUUUAUAUAAAGGUUUUGUUAAUUUUUUUUUAAUUAUUCAAACAGGGUUAUAUUAGUAUUGUCUUUAUAUUUUAAACUCGAAAAUCACACAUUUAAUUCAAAUACUUUUUAUUGGAUUAAAAUUCGAUUCAUUCGUUCUCGUAUUGGGCCCAACGUGAGUAAUUUGCACUACAAAAAAAAUAACACAUUAUCAAUGUAAGCGUCGGGAUACAAAAUAUAAUUUUAGCCAAUAAUUGAUUUAAUUUUCUUUCAUGAUUACAUUAUAUUCAUUUAAAAAGUAUUUUAUUUAACCAUUUUUUUUACAUAAAAUUUAUAACAACAUCCAAAAGACAGGUUGUAGUUGAUUGUAUAAUAAGUAGGAAUGUUAAUUAGGUUUAUAUGAUGAAAAAUCUAAUCUUAAGAGUUAAAAAUAAAAAAAUUAAGACAAAUAUUUGUAACGUUUAUUGUAAAUGUAAUUACCGAAUAAAUUAUUGUUAAGUAAAAAAAGUAUAAAAAAUUAAA
Molecule: long non-coding RNA, 2211 nt
Organism: Leptidea sinapis
Lineage: Eukaryota; Metazoa; Arthropoda; Insecta; Lepidoptera; Pieridae
Exons: 3
Source: RefSeq, a predicted model, not a curated record